Patella vulgata (common limpet) is the source of this 417-nucleotide long non-coding RNA. RefSeq lists it as uncharacterized. The record is from RefSeq and is a predicted model, not a curated record. The transcript is spliced from 3 exons. Lineage: Eukaryota; Metazoa; Mollusca; Gastropoda; Patellidae.
CUGAACUGUGAUGGAUGUUUACUGGUGUGUUGUAUAACAUUAGACAGUAUAUUAAAGAGUGGUAAUAUUGUUUAUAAGAAGUAUAGAAUCAAAGGCACCAACUGUAAGAAUUCUUACGCAUGGCAUCAGCGAAGGGGCGGCUGCAGUUGGAGAAAAACGACCUCUGCAGGAUGACCGUGGCUUUCCUCAUUGAGAACCGAAAACCUGACAAUUUAAAACGAUCGAGCGAAACCAUGGUACGCAAAUACAAGAGGAAACGAGCUGGGGUCACGGCAGGAGAGAUCAAACGGCAGGCCUUAGAACAUUAUAACAGAUUCAAUGAAUGAUUGCCCUUCCACGAUAUCUACAUCUGCUAACUCUGCUACGCCUUCUGCAUCUGUUAACGAGCGUGAAUCAUUGUCACCUACAAAAAGUUCA